AACGAACGCUGGCGGCAUGCCUAACACAUGCAAGUCGAACGAGACCUUCGGGUCUAGUGGCGCACGGGUGCGUAACGCGUGGGAACCUGCCCUUAGGUUCGGAAUAACUCCCCGAAAGGGGUGCUAAUACCGGAUAAUGUCUUCGGACCAAAGAUUUAUCGCCUUUGGAUGGGCCCGCGUUGGAUUAGCUAGUUGGUAGGGUAAAAGCCUACCAAGGCGAGGAUCCAUAGCUGGUCUGAGAGGAUGAUCAGCCACACUGGGACUGAGACACGGCCCAGACUCCUACGGGAGGGAGCAGUGGGGAAUAUUGGGCAAUGGGCGAAAGCCUGAUCCAGCAAUGCCGGGUGAGUGAUGAAGGGCUUAGGGUUGUAAAGCUGUUUUACCCGGGAUGAUAAUGACAGUACCGGGAGAAUAAGCUCCGGCUAACUCCGUG
This 433-nucleotide ribosomal RNA is filed under the name uncultured bacterium. RNAcentral's name for it is "partial 16S ribosomal RNA". It matches the Rfam family "Bacterial small subunit ribosomal RNA", at positions 29 to 507 of the family's 1533-position model. The record is from RNAcentral.